UCACGCACACGCACAGGCUCGCAAGAGAAACGGGCAGCAGCGGCAGGUUUGACUGUGAAAUCAUUGUCAAACACUCGCUGGGAGAGUUGAAUCAAAAGUGUUACAACAAUAAGAUAUCAAGCCAUUGAGUUAAGGUCAGCUUUGUCUGAGUUACGUGAUGCUUCUGGCACUGAACUUAAGGAUAAAAGUGAUGCAAAAAAUUUAUUUGAUGCACUUGGUCGCUUUGAGUUUCUACUUGGUAUGAUUAUCUGGCAUGAUAUUCUGUUUGCUGUAAAUAAAGUUAGCAAGAUGCUGCAAUCGUCAACCAUGUGUAUUGACUCUGCUUUGAAGCAAAUAAGAGGUAUAACAGAAUAUUUUGAGAAGUACAGCGAUGAUGGGUUUACUUCAAGUUUGACCAUCGCCAAAGGUAUAGCGACUGAAAUGGGAAUUGACCUUGUGUUUCCAAUGAAAUGUCGUGCUAAGAGGAAGAGACAGUUUGGUGAAAGUGAUUGUCAAGAAGAAAUUCUAGAAGCUGAGAAGGCUUUUCGUGUUAAAUAUUUUUUUGUUUUGGUUGAUAUGGCGGUCACUUCUUUGAAGGAUAGAUUUAAAGAACUAAUGGUGUUCAAAGAUAUAUUUGGAUUUUUAUUGAGCUCGGGCACCCUGAAGUCAUUAAGUGAUAAUGAACUUGAAGAGUGUUGCACAAAAUUUGCAGAAACAUUCUCUCUUGAUAGGUUCAUCUGA
Molecule: ribosomal RNA, 720 nt
Filed under: Triticum aestivum (bread wheat)
Lineage: Eukaryota; Viridiplantae; Streptophyta; Magnoliopsida; Poales; Poaceae
Description: partial small subunit ribosomal RNA
Source: RNAcentral